This 274-nucleotide ribosomal RNA is filed under the name uncultured bacterium. RNAcentral describes it as "partial 16S ribosomal RNA". It matches the Rfam family "Bacterial small subunit ribosomal RNA", at positions 523 to 796 of the family's 1533-position model. The record is from RNAcentral.
AUACGGAGGGGGCUAGCGUUGUUCGGAAUUACUGGGCGUAAAGCGCACGUAGGCGGAUUAAAAAGUUAGAGGUGAAAUCCCAGGGCUUAACCCUGGAACUGCCUUUAAAACUAGUAGUCUAGAGUUCGAGAGAGGUGAGUGGAAUUCCAAGUGUAGAGGUGAAAUUCAUAGAUAUUUGGAGGAACACCAGUGGCGAAGGCGGCUCACUGGCUCGAUACUGACGCUGAGGUGCGAAAGCGUGGGGAGCAAACAGGAUUAGAUACCCUAGUAGUCC